Molecule: non-coding RNA, 245 nt
Filed under: Apilactobacillus kunkeei
Lineage: Bacteria; Bacillati; Bacillota; Bacilli; Lactobacillales; Lactobacillaceae
Description: T-box
Rfam family: T-box leader
About the family: Uncharged tRNA acts as the effector for transcription antitermination of genes in the T-box leader family. T-boxes are found upstream of many aminoacyl-tRNA synthetase genes and some amino acid biosynthetic genes usually in Gram-positive bacteria.
Source: RNAcentral
UAUUAGGUUUUGAUGAGAAAAGUACAUAACGGAGAUUGCCAAGAGAGUUCAUGGUUGGUGGAAAUGAACGUUUCAAAGUUAUCGAAAAUGGUCUCUGAACCUUCGGGGGUGAAUUGUUUAGCUCCCGACAUUUGUGUAUGUUACAACACGAAGGAAUCAACAGGUUCUGGAUAAGAUAGUUAAUGAUAUUAAUGUAUCAUUUUAGCUAUAAACUAAGGUGGUACCGCGAAGCAUUCGCCCUUUUU